GACGAACGCUGGCGGCGUGCUUAACACAUGCAAGUCGAACGGUGAAGCGCCUUCCUUUUUGGUGGGUGUGGAUGAGUGGCGAACGGGUGAGUAACACGUGAGUAACCUGCCCCCUUCUUCUGGAUAACCGCAUGAAAGUGUGGCUAAUACGGGAUAUUCUGGGUCUGUCGCAUGAUGGGUCUGGGAAAGAUAUUGUUUCGGUUGGGGAUGGGCUCGCGGCCUAUCAGCUUGUUGGUGGGGUGAUGGCCUACCAAGGCGGUGACGGGUAGCCGGCCUGAGAGGGUGGCCGGUCACAGUGGGACUGAGACACGGCCCAGACUCCUACGGGAGGCAGCAGGGGGGAAUAUUGCACAAUGGGCGCAAGCCUGAUGCAGCGACGCCGCGUGAGGGAUGGAGGCCUGCGGGUUGUGAACCUCUUUCGCCAGUGAAGCAGGCCUGCCUGGUUUGUGGGUGGGUUGACGGUAGCUGGAGAAGAAGCGCCGGCUAACUACGUG
RNAcentral lists this ribosomal RNA (494 nucleotides) under uncultured bacterium. Its description in RNAcentral is "partial 16S ribosomal RNA". It matches the Rfam family "Bacterial small subunit ribosomal RNA", at positions 28 to 507 of the family's 1533-position model. The record is from RNAcentral.